GAUGAACGCUGGCGGCGUGCCUAAUACAUGCAAGUCGAGCGAACAGACGAGGAGCUUGCUCCUCUGACGUUAGCGGCGGACGGGUGCGUAACACAUGGAUAACCUACCUAUAAGACUGGGAUAACUUCGGGAAACCGGAUCUAAUACCGGAUAAUAUAUUGAACCGCAUGGUUCAAUAGUUAAAUACGCUUUUGCUGUCACUUAUAGAUUGAUCCGCGCCGCAUUAGCUAGUUGGUAAGGUAACGGCUUACCAAGGCAAUGAUGCGUAGCCGACCUGAGAGGGUGAUCGGCCACACUGGAACUGAGACACGGUCCAGACUCCUACGGGAGGCAGCAGUAGGGAAUCUUCCGCAAUGGGCGAAAGCCUGACGGAGCAACGCCGCGUGAGUGAUGAAGGUCUUCGGAUCGUAAAACUCUGUUAUUAGGGAAGAACAAAUGUGUAAGUAACUAUGCACGUCUUGACGGUACCUAAUCAGAAAGCCACGGCUAACUACGUG
This 497-nucleotide ribosomal RNA is filed under the name uncultured bacterium. RNAcentral describes it as "partial 16S ribosomal RNA". It matches the Rfam family "Bacterial small subunit ribosomal RNA", at positions 28 to 507 of the family's 1533-position model. The record is from RNAcentral.